RNAcentral lists this ribosomal RNA (498 nucleotides) under uncultured bacterium. RNAcentral describes it as "partial 16S ribosomal RNA". It matches the Rfam family "Bacterial small subunit ribosomal RNA", at positions 27 to 507 of the family's 1533-position model. The record is from RNAcentral.
GGAUGAACGCUGGCGGCGUGCCUAAUACAUGCAAGUCGAGCGAACGGACGAGAAGCUUGCUUCUCUGAUGUUAGCGGCGGACGGGUGAGUAACACGUGGAUAACCUACCUAUAAGACUGGGAUAACUUCGGGAAACCGGAGCUAAUACCGGAUAAUAUUUUGAACCGCAUGGUUCAAAAGUGAAAGACGGUCUUGCUGUCACUUAUAGAUGGAUCCGCGCUGCAUUAGCUAGUUGGUAAGGUAACGGCUUACCAAGGCAACGAUGCAUAGCCGACCUGAGAGGGUGAUCGGCCACACUGGAACUGAGACACGGUCCAGACUCCUACGGGAGGCAGCAGUAGGGAAUCUUCCGCAAUGGGCGAAAGCCUGACGGAGCAACGCCGCGUGAGUGAUGAAGGUCUUCGGAUCGUAAAACUCUGUUAUUAGGGAAGAACAUAUGUGUAAGUAACUGUGCACAUCUUGACGGUACCUAAUCAGAAAGCCACGGCUAACUACGUG